CUCGGCUCCUCGGCCCCGCGCUCCGAGCCCACCGCGGAACUUGGCCCGGCGCAGCAGGCGAGGGAUGCUGUAAGCAGGUGAAGGAUGGACUGACAGAGCCCCAGCAGGCCCCACCCAAGGCUGAGGGGCUCAGCCUGCAGGGAAGGAGCCAGUUUUGGACACAAACAUCACUCAGGCUGCGGCGAGGGGAGAGGAGCUGCGAGGAGCUGCCGCGGAUCGAACCCGCUCCUGGAGGGGAAAAUACCGCUUCGGUUUGGUGUCUAAUUAGAUAUUUACCAGGAAGGAAGGAAAGAUAUAAAUAGGGUGACAGUGA
Molecule: long non-coding RNA, 313 nt
Organism: Melozone crissalis (California towhee)
Lineage: Eukaryota; Metazoa; Chordata; Aves; Passeriformes; Passerellidae
Exons: 2
Source: RefSeq, a predicted model, not a curated record